UCCCUGAUGGUCCAGUGGCUAAGACUCCGUGCUUCCAACGCAGGGGACCCAGGUUUGAACCCUGGUUGGGGAA
This is a non-coding RNA of Cervus elaphus (red deer), 73 nucleotides long. The record is from the annotation of a RefSeq genome assembly. NCBI's taxonomy places the organism in Eukaryota, Metazoa, Chordata, Mammalia, Artiodactyla, Cervidae.